Camellia sinensis is the source of this 2835-nucleotide non-coding RNA. The record is from RefSeq and is a predicted model, not a curated record. NCBI's taxonomy places the organism in Eukaryota, Viridiplantae, Streptophyta, Magnoliopsida, Ericales, Theaceae.
AAACUAAACAGUGGACAUUUGUAAUAUAAAAUUUUGAAAUGUGUUGAAAUGCUUCAUGUUUUAGAAUUUGUGUCUACAAACCUACACCUCUCCGGAGGUCACGUACGAGUGUCCGACACAUUGGGAUACGCUGAGGACACAUUGGAGGAAACGUUGAAGAUUAUUUUUUUUUAAAAAAAUUGAAGUUUUUAAUUUAUUUUACUAAAGUAACAUACUUGAAGUUGAUAAUUUUGAUAAAAUUAAAUAUUUGAGAUAAGGUACAUAAUAAAUAUAUAAAAUUAUAUUUUUUACAUGUGUUCCUAACGUGUCGUGUCUUGCAUUUUGUUAAAAUUUACUUGUCCAUGUAUCCAUGCUGUGUCAUGUGUCAUGUCCAUCCUUCUUAGCCCAUAACAGAGCCAACUUGAGCUUGGGAGGGGGUGAUGAAUAAUGACCAUCCUAAAGCCAUUUGUCAUACCAUUCAAUGCUAACCAAAACAAGUUGCUUGGGUAAGCUAUGCACAUUUGGAAAUUUGGAGACAGGUACCCUACAUUGCUAUAUCUGAGAGAGCGAGAGAGAUUUGAGGCUGCCAUUGCCUUACUUGCAACUUGUGGUCAGUUUGUUCAUUAUUUAAGAAGCAAUGAAGAAGAUGCAAGCGAUGAUUACUGAUUUGCACUAUGAUCUGUUAAAAAUAAUUAUGCUUUUUGUGGUGAAAUCAUCAAAAGGCGGAGUACAUCUGGCAAGGGCAAUAUCUGUUAACAGAGAUUUCGCUAAAUUUGCUAAUGAUGAGGAUGUCUUAAGAGCUGCCAAUUUUGACAAUUUGGGGCUAUCAGAUCACUAUGAAUCAUACCAGUGCAUUCAUGGUUUAAUAAACAAAUGUUCUCAAGCUGGAAAUGUUACUGCCCAGUACAUGUUAUCAAAGCAGAUAAUACUGGUAACUUCUUCUCAGUUGUGGAAGAGGGCAUCAAAAGAUCUCAUUGGUCUAGCAAGCAUCAGCUUGGUUGCUGAGAAAGAUACUACAGCUUCUUUCAUGGCCCAUUUUAUGGCAGACCAAGCAAGUACUAGCAAAAGAUCAGGUGGAAGUUUAACUCACGCUGAACUUGUGAGACUGUUCGUGUUACUAUGCGGCCUUGUAGACUUUGUUACUAUGCGUCCGCAUUUAGAUAAUUACUUUAAGUACUUCUUUGGAUCUGUGAGUGGCUCUCUCAACUUCUUCUAUAGCAUCAAUGGGAUGUCUAGCAUUCUCCAAGCUGUUGUACAUCUGGGUAAGAAAGGAAAAAUGUGGUAUCCAUGUCAAAAAUUGAAGGGAUUUUCAGUAGAGUCAGGAGAGGGAAAUAGAGGACUCAAUGCUCUGUGUAUUGACCUGGGGGAAAGGCUUUUUCACUGUCCUGCAAAGCUCAUGGAAAUUGACUUCAAAAGGGAAGAAUUUCAUGAGACCUAUGCACCAUCUAGCUCAAAUCUAAAAGAGCUGAAGAGGGAAUGCAAUGAUAUAGCUGAACAAUUGAUUCCAGUGAAGCUUGGAAAGCGAAAGAAGGAAGCCAAUAUUCGGUAUAUUGACCUGGGAGAAAGGUUUUUUUACUAUCUUGUAAAGCACUGGCUUACCUUCAAGGAAGCAGUAAUUCAGGAGACCAAUGAACUUUCCAGCUCUACAUUUAGAGAGCUGAAGAAGGAAUGCAAAGAUCUCGGCAGAGUAUAUGAAUCACAUCGACGAAAUGCAACUUUUGCCUUGGAUGACAUUUUCUUCCACAAAAAUGGAUUUUGAAGGCAUCUGCCCUCUCUAUGCAGUAUUGAUAAUUUUGUUUAAGGUACAUUAUAGAAUUUUCAGACUAAAUCAUCAAAGAACAAUACCUUUAGUGGUUCAUGGCCUGAAACCAGGACAAAGGAGCCUUUUUUGUUCUUUCAACAAGCAGAACUUUGCAAAGGAAGCAAGAGUCAGCCAAUUUUCUGGCAAUCAUUGUGCAUUUCGAGUUGCCUAAAAGUUUAAAUCCAAACUCUGCAUUUGGAGAUGCAAACCUGAACUGGGCCAAUUGGCUAGGCAAGCAUUCAUUAGCGGAGUCAAUUUGUGCUGCAAAUUACAAACUAUGUCAGACAAUUGGAAUUAAAAGAACAAGAACAAGAAACCUUUUAUCACACCAUUCACAGUAGACAUUUCAUGUCAUGAAGGAUGUCACUUUCAAAAUGCUUUUGCUCUGAAACUGCUAAUCCAUUUGGUUAACAUGGAUUAGUUGUCUUGGUAUUGAUGGGUUUCUUGGAGAUGUGUCUUUCUUGGUAUACAAAAAAGAACAAAUUGUCUACAUCCCAUAUCCAUUUAUGUGGAAUUUACAAGUAGUUCAAACUUCGAAAGCAAUGGUCGUGACAAUUACGGAUCUGCUCUUCGAUCUUUUGAAGUUUAUCAUGAUUUUAAUAGUGGAAUCUACACAGGCCAGGAAAUCUUUUGAGAGCAAUGAUUGUUUCAAAUUCAACGUUGUUCGCGAAGAUUGCUGAAGACCCAAAUAACCUGAAAGCUGUGCGUUUUGACGAUUUGAGUGUCACAAAUUGAUAUGAGCUAUUCCAGCAAGCUAAUGGGUUGUUAUACAAAUGUGCACAAGCUGGAAAUGAGGUUGCUCAGUACUUGCUUGUGAACGUAACCGUUUUUGGGCAUUUCAUGUUUAGUCUUAGUGAUAGCAAUAGUUGUCGUUGGUAGUGGGUCUGUUCUUGUUUCCUAAUGUGAUUGCCCUCACACUAGUGACAUGUAAUUGCUAUGUUUGCUUUUCAUUCACCAUUCACUCUUUGCAUUUUCUAGCGUUUGGUAUAACAGAAAAUGAAAGUCAACUGAAAAGAAAUGCUUUUCGUUGUCAAUGGAAAACAAACUUAUUUGAA